UGACCACAUAUAAAACAAAAUGCAUCAGC
RNAcentral lists this non-coding RNA (29 nucleotides) under Bombyx mori (domestic silkworm). Lineage: Eukaryota; Metazoa; Arthropoda; Insecta; Lepidoptera; Bombycidae. The record is from RNAcentral.